UCCGCAAGUUGCCCUUCCAGCGGCUGAUGC
This 30-nucleotide non-coding RNA is filed under the name Homo sapiens (human). Lineage: Eukaryota; Metazoa; Chordata; Mammalia; Primates; Hominidae. The record is from RNAcentral.